RNAcentral lists this ribosomal RNA (982 nucleotides) under Salmonella enterica. RNAcentral's name for it is "partial 23S ribosomal RNA". It matches the Rfam family "Bacterial large subunit ribosomal RNA", at positions 1273 to 2238 of the family's 2925-position model. The record is from RNAcentral. Lineage: Bacteria; Pseudomonadati; Pseudomonadota; Gammaproteobacteria; Enterobacterales; Enterobacteriaceae.
CUGGAGGUAUCAGAAGUGCGAAUGCUGACAUAAGUAACGAUAAAGCGGGUGAAAAGCCCGCUCGCCGGAAGACCAAGGGUUCCUGUCCAACGUUAAUCGGGGCAGGGUGAGUCGACCCCUAAGGCGAGGCCGAAAGGCGUAGUCGAUGGGAAACGGGUUAAUAUUCCCGUACUUGGUGUUACUGCGAAGGGGGGACGGAGAAGGCUAUGUUGGCCGGGCGACGGUUGUCCCGGUUUAAGCGUGUAGGUGUGUGUUCCAGGUAAAUCCGGUUCACUUUAACACUGAGGCGUGACGACGAGGCACUACGGUGCUGAAGCAACAAAUGCCCUGCUUCCAGGAAAAGCCUCUAAGCAUCAGGUAACAUCAAAUCGUACCCCAAACCGACACAGGUGGUCAGGUAGAGAAUACCAAGGCGCUUGAGAGAACUCGGGUGAAGGAACUAGGCAAAAUGGUGCCGUAACUUCGGGAGAAGGCACGCUGACACGUAGGUGAAGUGAUUUACUCAUGGAGCUGAAGUCAGUCGAAGAUACCAGCUGGCUGCAACUGUUUAUUAAAAACACAGCACUGUGCAAACACGAAAGUGGACGUAUACGGUGUGACGCCUGCCCGGUGCCGGAAGGUUAAUUGAUGGGGUCAGCGCAAGCGAAGCUCCUGAUCGAAGCCCCGGUAAACGGCGGCCGUAACUAUAACGGUCCUAAGGUAGCGAAAUUCCUUGUCGGGUAAGUUCCGACCUGCACGAAUGGCGUAAUGAUGGCCAGGCUGUCUCCACCCGAGACUCAGUGAAAUUGAACUCGCUGUGAAGAUGCAGUGUACCCGCGGCAAGACGGAAAGACCCCGUGAACCUUUACUAUAGCUUGACACUGAACAUUGAGCCUUGAUGUGUAGGAUAGGUGGGAGGCUUUGAAGUGUGGACGCCAGUCUGCAUGGAGCCGACCUUGAAAUACCACCCUUUAAUGUUUGAUGUUCUAACGUGGACCCGUGA